Molecule: long non-coding RNA, 701 nt
Filed under: Numida meleagris (helmeted guineafowl)
Lineage: Eukaryota; Metazoa; Chordata; Aves; Galliformes; Numididae
Description: lncRNA (ENSNMEG00000007512.1)
Source: RNAcentral
GUUUUAUAAACACACAUUGCACAACUGCCCUCUGUAACUCUGCAGAUAAAAGCAAGUUAAGGAAGACAUCUCACAGAAGGUUUUACUACCAAGCAAGAAAACGCUGUAUGGGAUUACGUAUGUCAAGUGAGAGCUGCAUGUCUUUUCUCCAGCUCUGCCAGCAGCUGAGCUGCAAACCGCUUGGGAGGAAGAGGACAAGGGAUUGCCAUUAAAAACACAUCGGAUUGCAAGGAAUCUGGAGAGUUGUCAUGGGGACACAGUUUUCUUGGGAUCAAGAGGCACGGUCUGCGGACAGGUAGAAUCCCCACUCGUGUGUGUGAAGCAGCAUGUGCCGUGACAUUGUGCAGCCACACAACAGCAGAGCUCUGAGUGCCAGCUGCUGGGAGCUGCCAUGGAGCUGCCUGCACCCAGCAGGUUUAUCAUAUGCUCGGCUCAUCCAUCUGUGUCUCAGUCUCCGGUGGACUCAUGAGUUUCAUCAAGAAAACCAUUUUCAAACCAGCAGACCAAAACAGAUCGUUUUCGACUCCCAGCCUCAUCGAGGCUUUGCAGUAGUUUUGCCUCGUGUUUACGAUUUAUGGAUGCAACAGAAACACAGAGCAGGCGGGAGUGGUCCAGAGAUUUCCCCAUUGCAGGGCUGUGAGAGCUUCCACAUUGGAGUUUCAUCUGGGGGAGUAACGCAUCCUCUGGGCACUGCAGGUUGA